Molecule: ribosomal RNA, 301 nt
Filed under: uncultured bacterium
Lineage: Bacteria
Description: partial 16S ribosomal RNA
Rfam family: Bacterial small subunit ribosomal RNA
Source: RNAcentral
CAGCAGCCGCGGGAACACGAAGGGUGCAAGCGUUAAUCGGAAUUACUGGGCGUAAAGCGCGCGUAGGUGGUUCAUUAAGUUGGAUGUGAAAGCCCUGGGCUCAACCUGGGAACUGCAUCCAAAACUGGUGGGCUAGAGUACGGUAGAGGGUAGUGGAAUUUCCUGUGUAGCGGUGAAAUGCGUAGAUAUAGGAAGGAACACCAGUGGCGAAGGCGACUACCUGGACUGAUACUGACACUGAGGUGCGAAAGCGUGGGGAGCAAACAGGAUUAGAUACCCCUGUAGUCCCUGUCUCUUAUCU